This 433-nucleotide ribosomal RNA is filed under the name uncultured bacterium. RNAcentral's name for it is "partial 16S ribosomal RNA". It matches the Rfam family "Bacterial small subunit ribosomal RNA", at positions 29 to 507 of the family's 1533-position model. The record is from RNAcentral.
AACGAACGCUGGCGGCAGGCCUAACACAUGCAAGUCGAGCGAGACCUUCGGGUCUAGCGGCGGACGGGUGAGUGACGCGUGGGAACGUGCCCUUUUCUACGGAAUAGCCUCGGGAAACUGAGCGUAAUACCGUAUACGCCCUUUGGGGGAAAGAUUUAUCGGAGAAGGAUCGGCCCGCGUUGGAUUAGGUAGUUGGUGGGGUAAUGGCCUACCAAGCCUACGAUCCAUAGCUGGUUUGAGAGGAUGAUCAGCCACACUGGGACUGAGACACGGCCCAGACUCCUACGGGAGGCAGCAGUGGGGAAUCUUAGACAAUGGGGGCAACCCUGAUCUAGCCAUGCCGCGUGAGUGAUGAAGGCCUUAGGGUUGUAAAGCUCUUUCAGCUGGGAAGAUAAUGACGGUACCAGCAGAAGAAGCCCCGGCUAACUCCGUG